UACAAUGGCGUAAACAGAGGGAAGCGAGCCGCGAGGGGAGCGAAUCCCAAAAAUAACGUCCCAGUUCGGAUUGUAGUCUGCAACCCGACUACAUGAAGCCGGAAUCGCUAGUAAUCGCGGAUCAGAAUGCCGCGGUGAAUACGUUCCCGGGUCUUGUACACACCGCCCGUCACACCAUGGGAGUCAGUAACGCCCGAAGCCGGUGACCCAACCGAGUCCGGAGGGAGCCGUCGAAGGUGGGACCGAUAACUGGGGUGAAGUCGUAACAAGGUAUC
This 275-nucleotide ribosomal RNA is filed under the name uncultured bacterium. RNAcentral describes it as "partial 16S ribosomal RNA". It matches the Rfam family "Bacterial small subunit ribosomal RNA", at positions 1226 to 1500 of the family's 1533-position model. The record is from RNAcentral.